Molecule: transfer RNA, 526 nt
Filed under: uncultured Prochlorococcus sp.
Lineage: Bacteria; Bacillati; Cyanobacteriota; Cyanophyceae; Synechococcales; Prochlorococcaceae
Description: partial 16S-23S ribosomal RNA intergenic spacer
Rfam family: tRNA (bases 213-285)
Source: RNAcentral
CAGGGAGACAACAAAAUGUUUAAUAUUAUUAUUUUGUCACCUUAGGUCGAUCGGUAUCUCACAUUCUUAAUUUAUUAAGGAUUUUAUUUCCUAAGUUUUUUCUAGGUCACACCCAUUACUUUUCCUGGGCCAUUAGCUCAGGUGGUUAGAGCGCACCCCUGAUAAGGGUGAGGUCCCUGGUUCAAGUCCAGGAUGGCCCAUAUCUCUAUGUUGGGGGUAUAGCUCAGUUGGUAGAGCGCCUGCUUUGCAAGCAGGAUGUCAGCGGUUCGAGUCCGCUUACCUCCACUGAUUACCACCUCUUCCAUAAUUCUAUUGAGGAAACGUUAUGAGUAGUGAUCAAAUUCUGAUCGAAUCUAGCUUCCUAAUGAAAUCAUUAAGAUGCUGGACUCAUUGAAUUAUUUUCAUUGUUUUCAGAGAACCUUGACAACUGCAUAGAUUAUUUUUAAAGACAAUAAGCAUCUUUAUGAUGCAGAUUUUUUAUUUGUGCGAAUGCAUUAAUAACAAUUCUAUUAAGCUGAUGCUUCAA